CUUAUCUUUAACAGUUUCGGGAGAAUUGUGAAACGAGUCAGUCACUAUUGAAAAUAGAAAAAAGUGGAAGCCGCCGUGAUGCCGAGAAAGAAAAAAACCCGACCAGCCGCUAAGAAGACCCCAAAACCGACAGGGUCGGCCAACGAUGUUGAAGAUUGUGUAAUUUGUGUUCUGGAGAUUUUAAAUCCUUUCAAACUGCCCUGCGGGCACUCCUUUUGUACGGAAUGUCUCGAAUUUUCGGUCAAUUCGAGAGCUGAAAAUGAAGGUCCAACCAUCUCGGUUAGAGCUGAAAAUGAAACUCGAAGCACCUGUCCAUUGUGCCGUGCUAUAUUUCGCACCGGUCCUCUGCUCCUCUACGCUAAAAGUCAAACAAAACACGACUCCUAAUACAUACACAAUACGGACUCUUAAGCGUCAAAACAGAUUUUCACCACACUCCGCCUCAUUUUGACGUUGAGCAACACUUUUUAUAUUCAACAUUUUGUAGCUUCGAGAAAAUUCUCAGAACAGCUGGCAAGAAAAUAGUUAGUUUUGCCGUAAUCUACUAAAAAAUAUGGCGACUAAUAAGAAGGACAAGCCAGCUGAAGCUGAGGAAGAAACUAAGACGGGCAGCGCUGAAGACGUUUGCCCCAUUUGCUGUGGUCCGAAAGUGGUUCCCUUGGCAUUGCCCUGCAAGCACACGUUCUUCAUGCGUUGUCCAGUGUGCCGCGAAAUGUUUUGCUCAAAAAAAUCUGUUGCCACUUCCCUCCAGCCAUAGUUCUGAGCAUAUAAACACAUACAAAGUACAUAUGUAUGUAUACUCACAAAAGCCAAAUAAAUUUUAAUUAAUAA
RNAcentral lists this small RNA (831 nucleotides) under Drosophila pseudoobscura pseudoobscura. Its description in RNAcentral is "GA32416". The record is from RNAcentral. Lineage: Eukaryota; Metazoa; Arthropoda; Insecta; Diptera; Drosophilidae.